Molecule: non-coding RNA, 202 nt
Organism: Oryza meridionalis
Lineage: Eukaryota; Viridiplantae; Streptophyta; Magnoliopsida; Poales; Poaceae
Source: Rfam
AAUAAGUGCAAGGCAUAGGUAUCAGUGUGUAGUGUUUUGACCAUUUGUCUUAUUUAAAAAAUUUAUGAAAAAAUUAAAAAAAUAGUCACACGUAAAGUACUACUCAUGUUUUAUCAUGUAAUAACAAUAAAAAUACUAAUUAUAAUUUUUUUUAAAUAAGACGAACGGUCAAAUGUUAGAUAUGAACGGUGCUAAAAUUAUA